Molecule: ribosomal RNA, 734 nt
Filed under: Bacillus altitudinis
Lineage: Bacteria; Bacillati; Bacillota; Bacilli; Caryophanales; Bacillaceae
Description: bacterial SSU rRNA
Rfam family: Bacterial small subunit ribosomal RNA
Source: RNAcentral
GCGGCGUCCUACUUCAUGCAAGUCGAAGCGGACAGAAAGGGAAGCUUGCUCCCGGAUGUUAGCGGCGGACGGGUGAGUAACACGUGGGUAACCUGCCUGUAAGACUGGGAUAACUCCGGGAAACCGGAGCUAAUACCGGAUAGUUCCUUGAACCGCAUGGUUCAAGGAUGAAAGACGGUUUCGGCUGUCACUUACAGAUGGACCCGCGGCGCAUUAGCUAGUUGGUGAGGUAACGGCUCACCAAGGCGACGAUGCGUAGCCGACCUGAGAGGGUGAUCGGCCACACUGGGACUGAGACACGGCCCAGACUCCUACGGGAGGCAGCAGUAGGGAAUCUUCCGCAAUGGACGAAAGUCUGACGGAGCAACGCCGCGUGAGUGAUGAAGGUUUUCGGAUCGUAAAGCUCUGUUGUUAGGGAAGAACAAGUGCAAGAGUAACUGCUUGCACCUUGACGGUACCUAACCAGAAAGCCACGGCUAACUACGUGCCAGCAGCCGCGGUAAUACGUAGGUGGCAAGCGUUGUCCGGAAUUAUUGGGCGUAAAGGGCUCGCAGGCGGUUUCUUAAGUCUGAUGUGAAAGCCCCCGGCUCAACCGGGGAGGGUCAUUGGAAACUGGGAAACUUGAGUGCAGAAGAGGAGAGUGGAAUUCCACGUGUAGCGGUGAAAUGCGUAGAGAUGUGGAGGAACACCAGUGGCGAAGGCGACUCUCUGGUCUGUAACUGACGCUGAGGAGC